UUCCUACUGUAGUGUAAGCAAGAGCUGCAUUUGUCACUGUGAGCAUAUUUACAGCCUUCCUGAAGCAAGGAAGGGCUCUUCAGUGCUGCCCAGUCAAAGCAGAUAAAUUAGUGCCUGCCAAGUCAGGUUCAAGGAGUCCAGAGGCAGCACAUUAUUCCCAGCCACGUGGCAGAGAGAAGCUUUUAUCUAGUUUUUGUUUAAAAUGUAAGAGACUGCUUGGCUUUAACCAGCCUACUUAGCUGAGCCGUGUAGUUCCUUUAUGUAAAGUCGAAAGGCUUUGAAUCGUAUCAGACACUUUGGCAGACGCUUCAGCUCCUUUGCUCCAUAACAACCAUCUUUUCUUCAGUACACAAUAGUAGUUCUCCCUCAAACUUGAUUUAUUUAACAGAUACAUAAAAGACACAUCUCUCACUUCAACCACCCUCUUUCUUUAGGCUCAAGAAACCUUGAAAAAGUGCCCCUACUUGUCACAAGCAACCAUCCCUAGAUGAAGUUUUAUUUGCCAUCAGAGGGACAGACUGUCCCCAUGCCUUUCAUGGGGACCAGCCUCACUGCAGCACAGCAGAGCUGUUGCUGGUGAACCCAGGGACCACGGUAUCUCCAGUCCCUCCAGCUAAAUCCUGCAGGAACCAUGAUGCAGAUUCCCAUGGCCUUCCUUGGUUGUCAUACCAGCACUGUGUUUGCAGAAAAAGUCCAAAUAAUUCCCAAAGAUGUGUCUAAGUCCAGUGUUUGUAAAAUGGUUAUGCCAUGACCAACACCAACUAGGCAUACAUGAGGUGAAAUAGCACUUUAAUCUAGGGAGCCUGAGCAACUCCAAGCAGCCAUCAGCUCGCAGCAGUUCCUCCCUUCCCUGUCCAAGCAUGGACAAUUUCAUCGCAUGACAAGCUCCAAACACAAAACUCUCACUACAACAGGUCAUUCUUUCUCCCAUAACCGUGUCUGCAUGGCCCUGCCUAUUCUGCCACUGACAGAGGCAACCAGACUAGUACAGGGGGAUCGACAGCGAUGAAAGCAAGACAAAACUUCUAGGAGCAGAUGAAUGGCUACCACCUACCACUGUUCAUGUUCCCAUUUUCAUUGGCUUGGCAUGCUCUUUAAUGUCAUAUAAAGCUGAGUUAACUGAGGCAUGAGGCUGCCUAUAUUUUUCUGGCUGCUGUUGCAAGGGUACAAGCCAAGAAAGCAACGUUCAUGGGGAAGAGCAGCAGGGUUGUCAUGCUAGGAAGCAAAAUUAAGCUUCUGAACCACAAAACCACUUAGUUCCUAUUUCAUUUCUUGAGAAGGUCGAUCAGCUAAAACAGUAAGCAGUGAAAUCAACCCCUCAACUGCUGAAACCAGUGUGACCCAACCACUGAGCAGCAGCACUUGAGCCUGCUGUAUUUGACACCCUAGAUGUCUGUGUUCUGUAAGCAACCAG
This 1414-nucleotide long non-coding RNA is filed under the name Corvus moneduloides (New Caledonian crow). RNAcentral describes it as "lncRNA (ENSCMUG00000019856.1)". The record is from RNAcentral. Lineage: Eukaryota; Metazoa; Chordata; Aves; Passeriformes; Corvidae.